ACUGUCCCUUGAGGCGUUGCAGGCAUGGCUGCUGUGUCACGUGAGCAUCAGUAGGUGGCAGGGAGGAGAGAGGCUAUGUCUACCCUCAGUGUUCUGACUACGAACAUCUGAAUGAUUAGUAGCCUAGCAUU
Molecule: small nucleolar RNA, 131 nt
Organism: Arvicanthis niloticus (Nile rat)
Lineage: Eukaryota; Metazoa; Chordata; Mammalia; Rodentia; Muridae
Product: small nucleolar RNA SNORA17
Source: RefSeq, a predicted model, not a curated record